This 119-nucleotide ribosomal RNA is filed under the name Arabidopsis thaliana (thale cress). Lineage: Eukaryota; Viridiplantae; Streptophyta; Magnoliopsida; Brassicales; Brassicaceae. The record is from RNAcentral.
AAAUGCGAUCAUACCAGCACUAAUGCAUCGGAUCCCAUCAGAACUACGCAGUUAAGGGUGGUUGGGCGAGAUUAGUACUAGGAUGGGUGACCUCCAGGAUAGUCCUCGUGUUGCAUCCC